Molecule: long non-coding RNA, 351 nt
Organism: Grus americana (Whooping crane)
Lineage: Eukaryota; Metazoa; Chordata; Aves; Gruiformes; Gruidae
Exons: 3
Source: RefSeq, a predicted model, not a curated record
CGGCGCGCAGCAAUGACGUUAAUGUCAGGGCCAUUGCCACACGCGUGUUCGCCGUGGGGCGGCACGGGAUAACUGGGGGGCUGCGUGCCGCGUCCCGACAGACCAGCAAGUACCAGAAGACGGUGUACCAGGAGUAAACUGAAGCAUGAAUAUCCAUCUGCUCACCAGUACCUGCCUGCCUACGUUGCACUUGCCAUUCAGUGGAAGAGGGGUUCCAUGUUAGCAACUGGAGUAUCUUUCUGUCUUGGGUCCCAUACCUUCACAGUUCCUGUGAAAGAAGGACAACGGAUUUUGUAUUAUGGAGACGCUGUCACGUUGCAUUCAUAUUCCCAGGGAAGGCCUUUGCUUUUC